Molecule: ribosomal RNA, 253 nt
Filed under: uncultured bacterium
Lineage: Bacteria
Description: partial 16S ribosomal RNA
Rfam family: Bacterial small subunit ribosomal RNA
Source: RNAcentral
GACAGAGGGUGCAAGCGUUGUUCGGAAUUACUGGGCGUAAAGGGCGUGUAGGCGGUGGAGUGUGUCUGGUGUGAAAGCCCUCGGCUUAACCGGGGAAAUGCAUUGGAAACUACUCUGCUGGAGUGCGAGAGAGGAAGGCGGAAUUCCUGGUGUAGAGGUGAAAUUCGUAGAUACCAGGAGGAACACCGGAGGCGAAGGCGGCCUUCUGGCUCGUAACUGACGCUGAGACUCGAAAGCGUGGGUAGCAAACAGG